This 253-nucleotide ribosomal RNA is filed under the name uncultured bacterium. Its description in RNAcentral is "partial 16S ribosomal RNA". It matches the Rfam family "Bacterial small subunit ribosomal RNA", at positions 524 to 776 of the family's 1533-position model. The record is from RNAcentral.
UACGGAGGGGGCGAGCGUUGUCCGAAGUUACUGGGCGUAAAGCGCGUGUAGGCGGGUUGCCAAGUCCGCUGUGAAAGCCCGAGGCUCAACCUCGGAGGGUCGGUGGAUACUGGCAGUCUUGAAGUGGCUAGGGGGAGAUGGAAUUACCGGUGUAGCGGUGAAAUGCGUAGAGAUCGGUAGGAACACCAGUGGCGAAGGCGGUCUCCUGGAGCUAACUUGACGCUGAGACGCGAAAGCUGGGGGAGCGAACGGG